UCACGUCCCGCCACUUCGCAGUAAAAUUUGGCGUCCGGAUAGGGGCGGAAGGGUCUAGAGUUGUGGAGAGGUUUCCGGAAAACUCUAGAACCCUCUAGAUUAUUCAAGAAGGCUAGAGAAUUCCCUAGAAUUCUCUAGAAAUGACUUAGAAGGCAAUGGAAGGUCCUAGAGUAUGUAGAAAGUUCUAGAGCUAGGACCAAAGUGUAAAUAAGUUUAGGGACUUAGAAAGUAAUUUAAAAUUGUACUUUAGUCCCUAGGAGUUAGUAUAAAUAGAGGUGCCACCAUUUGCAAAGGCACCACCCAAGCU
Molecule: long non-coding RNA, 307 nt
Filed under: Solanum tuberosum (potato)
Lineage: Eukaryota; Viridiplantae; Streptophyta; Magnoliopsida; Solanales; Solanaceae
Description: long non-coding RNA (STUB_LNC008332)
Source: RNAcentral